CUACGGAAGGUCCGGGCGUUAUCCGGAUUUAUUGGGUUUAAAGGGAGCGCAGGCGGAGAUGCAAGCGUGACGUCAAAUUUCGGGGCUCAACCCCGUCUCGCGUCGCGAACUGCGUCCCUUGGUUGCGGGAAGGGGAGGCGGAACUCGUGGUGUAGCGGUGAAAUGCAUAGAUAUCACGAAGAACUCCGAUCGCGAAGGCAGCCUUCCGGCCCGUCAACGACGCUCAUGCUCGAAGGUGCGGGUAUCAAACAGGAAUAGAUACCCUGGUAGUCCGUACAGUAAACGAUGGACACCCGCGGUUUGGCCUAUAUGGCUGAGCCGCCAAGCGAAAGCGUUAAGUGUCCCACCUGGGGAGUACGCCGGCAACGGUGAAACUUAAAGGAAUUGACGGGG
This 393-nucleotide ribosomal RNA is filed under the name uncultured bacterium. Its description in RNAcentral is "partial 16S ribosomal RNA". It matches the Rfam family "Bacterial small subunit ribosomal RNA", at positions 523 to 918 of the family's 1533-position model. The record is from RNAcentral.